CAAUAGCGUAUAUUUAAGUUGUUGCAGUUAAAAAGCUCGUAGUUGGAUUUCGGAUGGGAUCUGCCGGUCCGUCAUUGAGAUGUGUACUGGUAGGUCCUAUCUUGUUGUCGGGGACCAGCUCCUGGGCUUCACUGUCCGGGACUGGGAGCCGACGAAGUUACUUUGAGUAAAUUAGAGUGUUCAAAGCAAGCCUACGCUCUGAAUAUAUUAGCAUGGAAUAACACGAUAGGACUCUGGCUUAUCUUGUUGGUCUGUGAGACCAGAGUAAUGAUUAAGAGGGACAGUCGGGGACAUUCGUAUUUCAUUGUCAGAGGUGAAAUUCUUGGAUUUAUGAAAGACGAACUUCUGCGAAAGCAUUUGUCAAGGAUGUUUUCAUUAA
RNAcentral lists this ribosomal RNA (379 nucleotides) under uncultured eukaryote. RNAcentral describes it as "partial 18S ribosomal RNA". It matches the Rfam family "Eukaryotic small subunit ribosomal RNA", at positions 592 to 976 of the family's 1831-position model. The record is from RNAcentral.